Molecule: ribosomal RNA, 460 nt
Filed under: uncultured bacterium
Lineage: Bacteria
Description: partial 16S ribosomal RNA
Rfam family: Bacterial small subunit ribosomal RNA
Source: RNAcentral
CCUACGGGAGGCUACAGUGAGGAAUAUUGGUCAAUGGCCGGAAGGCUGAACCAGCCAUGCCGCGUGAAGGUCAGUGCCCUAUGGGCGUUAAACUUCUUUUGUGCGGGAGCAAUAAUGGUCACGUGUGGCCAGACGAGAGUACCGUACGAAUAAGCAUCGGCUAACUCCGUGCCAGCAGCCGCGGUAAUACGGGGGAUGCAAGCGUUAUCCGGAUUUAUUGGGUUUAAAGGGUGCGUAGGCUGUGAGGUAAGUCAGCGGGGAAAUGCCCCCGCUCAACGGGGUGAAGUGCCAUUGAUACUGCCUUGCUGGAAUGCGGAUGCCGUGGGAGGAAUGUGUGGUGUAGCGGUGAAAUGCAUAGGUAACACACAGAACACCGAUUGCGAAGGCAUCUCACGAAUCCGCGAUUGACGCUGAUGCACGAAAGCGUGGGUAUCAAACAGGAUUAGAUACCCCAGUAGUC